RNAcentral lists this ribosomal RNA (1874 nucleotides) under Gammaproteobacteria bacterium. Its description in RNAcentral is "partial 23S ribosomal RNA". It matches the Rfam family "Bacterial large subunit ribosomal RNA", at positions 3 to 1810 of the family's 2925-position model. Lineage: Bacteria; Pseudomonadati; Pseudomonadota; Gammaproteobacteria. The record is from RNAcentral.
CCAAGCUACGAAGAGCCAACGGUGGAUGCCUUGGCACUGACUACCGAUGAAGGACGUGAGAGGCUGCGAUAAGCCACGGGGAGCUGCCGACUAAGCGUCGAUCCGUGGAUGUCCGAAUGGGGAAACCCAGCACCCGUCAUGGGGUGUUACUCCCGUCUGAACACAUAGGGCGGGUAGAGGGAACCGGGUGAACUGAAACAUCUAAGUAACCCGAGGAAGAGAAAGCAACAGCGACUCCCUGAGUAGCGGCGAGCGAAACGGGAAGAGCCUAAACCGGUGUGGUGGAAAGCCUGACGGCGUUGCCACAUGGGGGUUGUGGGAACCGAUGGGACCGGCGUCAGACGGUCCACGGAGUUACAAAGCGAGUGGGUAGUGGAACGGUUCUGGAAAGGCCGGCCGCAGCGGGUAACAGCCCCGUACACGAAACUCAUCUCGCCUCCGAUCGGAUCUCCCGAGUAGCGCCGGAUCCGGGAAAGCCGGCGUGAAUCUGCGAGGACCACCUCGUAAGGCUAAGUAUACGUCAGUGACCGAUAGCGAACUAGUACCGUGAGGGAAAGGUGAAAAGUACCCCGGGAGGGGAGUGAAAUAGUACCUGAAACCGUUGGUUUACAAGCAGUCAGAGCGUCGGCCUUCGGGGCCUCGAUGGCGUGCCUUUUGAAGAAUGAGCCUGCGAGUUACGGUAUGUGGCAAGGUUAACCAGUGAUGGGAAGCCGAAGCGAAAGCGAGUCUGAAUAGGGCGUUGAGUCGCAUGCUGUAGACCCGAAGCCAAGUGAUCUACCCAUGGCCAGGUUGAAGCGGAGGUAAGACUCCGUGGAGGACCGAACCCACGUCGGUUGAAAACGGCGGGGAUGAGCUGUGGGUAGGGGUGAAAGGCUAAUCAAACUUGGCGAUAGCUGGUUCUCCUCGAAAUGCAUCUAGGUGCAGCGUCGCGUGUUCAGUACCGGAGGUAGAGCACUGAUUGGGCUAGGGGGCCUACAAGCUUACCGAACUCAGUCAAACUCCGAAUGCCGGUACUCCAGAACACGGCAGUGAGUCCACGGGGGAUGAGCUUCGUUGGACGAAAGGGAAACAGCCCAGACCAUCAGCUAAGGCCCCUAAUUCUGAACUAAGUGGAAAACGAUGUGGGAUUGCCCAGACAGCCAGGAGGUUGGCUUAGAAGCAGCCACCCUUGAAAGAGUGCGUAAUAGCUCACUGGUCGAGUGAUCCUGCGCGGACAAUGUAACGGGGCUAAGUUCAGAGCCGAAGCUAUGGGUUCGUACGCAAGUACGAGCGGUAGAGGAGCGUCGAUGUCGCUGCGAAGCCCAGCGGACGUGUGAACGUACGUGGAGCGUGGUCGAGUGAGAAUGCAGGUAUGAGUAGCGAGAGAGGGGUGAGAAACCCCUCCGCCGAAAGCCCAAGGGUUCCUGGGGAAGGCUAAUCCUCCCAGGGUAAGUCGGGAGCUAAGGCGAGGCCGAAAGGCGUAGUCGAUGCACAACUGGUUAAUAUUCCAGUACCACCGUGUCCGCGCCAGGCCCAAGAGUGGCAACGUUGGGGCUGUUCACCUUCGGGUGAGCGAACCGACCGAGCCGCUGGCGGGUAGCUGAAGGGGGACGCAGGAGGGUAGGUGAACCGGGGCGANNNNNNNNNGACACAAGUCGAAGUCACUGAUCCCAUGCUGCCAAGAAAAUCCCAGCAGUGAGUUGGCACGGUGCCCGUACCCCAAACCGACACAGGUGGGCAGGUAGAGAAUACCAAGGCGAUCGGGAGAACUAUGGUUAAGGAACUCGGCAAAUUGCAUCCGUAACUUCGGGAGAAGGAUGACCCUUGUCGGUGACGACCUCGCGGUCCGAGCUGAUGGGGGUGGCACAGACCAGGGGGUAGCGACUGUUUACCAA